RNAcentral lists this unclassified non-coding RNA (240 nucleotides) under soil metagenome. RNAcentral describes it as "partial contains 5.8S ribosomal RNA, internal transcribed spacer 2, and large subunit ribosomal RNA". The record is from RNAcentral.
AACGGUCUAUACCUGCGGUACCUGCGGAGGGAUCAUUAACAAAUUGUCCACUAUGGAUAAUUUAUCCAUACCCACCUUGCGUGCACCGAUUGACUUGUUUAUUGGCAGGCGUUCGAGCCGCGACAUAUCACUACUUGUUGGUGAUUGGGUUUCGGCCUGCCAAUUUUAUUUGUCUCGACUUGUCUAUAAUUAACAUGAGUCUGAAACUUUUUACCAUGUAACAAAUACAACUUUCAACAA